RNAcentral lists this ribosomal RNA (484 nucleotides) under uncultured bacterium. RNAcentral describes it as "partial 16S ribosomal RNA". It matches the Rfam family "Bacterial small subunit ribosomal RNA", at positions 30 to 507 of the family's 1533-position model. The record is from RNAcentral.
AUUGAACGCUGGCGGCAGGCCUAACACAUGCAAGUCGAGCGGAUGAAGGGAGCUUGCUCCUGGAUUCAGCGGCGGACGGGUGAGUAAUGCCCAGGAAUCUGCCUUGUCUUGGGGGAUAACGUCCGGAAACGGGCGCUAAUACCGCAUACGUCCAGAUGGAGAAAGUGGGGGAUCUUCGGACCUCACGCUAUCAGAUGAGCCUAGGUCGGAUUAGCUAGUUGGUGGGGUAAAGGCCUACCAAGGCGACGAUCCGUAACUGGUCUGAGAGGAUGAUCAGUCACACUGGAACUGAGACACGGUCCAGACUCCUACGGGAGGCAGCAGUGGGGAAUAUUGGGCAAUGGGCGAAAGCCUGAUCCAGCAAUGCCGCGUGUGUGAAGAAGGUCUUCGGAUUGUAAAGCACUGUAAGUUGGGAGGAAGGGCAGUAAGUUAAUCCCUUGCUGUUUUGACGUUACCAACAGAAUAAGCACCGGCUAACUUCGUG